UGAAUCCUAGCAACACUCAUCUCCAACUCAGUCUUCUCUGCUUGCAGUUGAUCUCUGGCUUUCUUCAUCUCAAGGAACUCUUCCAUGCUGACAGAAGAACGUGGCCCCUCAAUCAAAGGACACCAAGGAUCACCCCCAAGAAAUGGUAAAUGCGUGAGCUCAAUCCUCUUCCUAAGCCAAUCAUCAAAGGGAGGAAAAGACCUGCUAUUAACCUGACCAAAAGGAACCUUGCCCUUCC
Molecule: long non-coding RNA, 238 nt
Filed under: Lathyrus oleraceus (garden pea)
Lineage: Eukaryota; Viridiplantae; Streptophyta; Magnoliopsida; Fabales; Fabaceae
Description: Pisum sativum (pea) long non-coding RNA (PSAT_LNC015319)
Source: RNAcentral